GGGUGGUAAUGCCGGAUGUUCCACAUGAUCGCAUGUGAUUGUGGGAAAGAUUCUAUCGGCGUGGGAUGGGGUCGCGUCCUAUCAGCUUGUUGGUGAGGUAACGGCUCACCAAGGCUUCGACGGGUAGCCGGCCUGAGAGGGCGACCGGCCACAUUGGGACUGAGAUACGGCCCAGACUCCUACGGGAGGCAGCAGUGGGGAAUAUUGCACAAUGGGCGCAAGCCUGAUGCAGCGACGCCGCGUGAGGGAUGGAGGCCUUCGGGUUGUAAACCUCUUUUGUUUGGGAGCAAGCCUUCGGGUGAGUGUACCUUUCGAAUAAGCGCCGGCUAACUACGUGCCAGCAGCCGCGGUAAUACGUAGGGCGCAAGCGUUAUCCGGAUUUAUUGGGCGUAAAGGGCUCGUAGGCGGCUCGUCGCGUCCGGUGUGAAAGUCCAUCGCUUAACGGUGGAUCUGCGCCGGGUACGGGCGGGCUGGAGUGCGGUAGGGGAGACUGGAAUUCCCGGUGUAACGGUGGAAUGUGUAGAUAUCGGGA
RNAcentral lists this ribosomal RNA (532 nucleotides) under Bifidobacterium bifidum. RNAcentral's name for it is "bacterial SSU rRNA". It matches the Rfam family "Bacterial small subunit ribosomal RNA", at positions 158 to 702 of the family's 1533-position model. Lineage: Bacteria; Bacillati; Actinomycetota; Actinomycetes; Bifidobacteriales; Bifidobacteriaceae. The record is from RNAcentral.